AACUGUAUACAUAAAAUGUAAAUAAAUACUUAGAAAAGAAAUCCGAAUGUACCUUUAUAUUCAUUGGACUGAAGUAUCGAAAUUGCGUACCAAAACCUCGUAUAUAUUUUCCAAAUAAAAUCUAAAUAUUACCUCCCAAAUCCUUAUUCCACGGAUAGGGACCCGGAAUCAAAACCCGACGGACGAAACCUCACCAAAAUCUAAUAAUCAGCAAAAUUAUGACCUUCAACCGGAUAGUGCGCUUCAGGGCAGAAUGCAUCGGCUCCAAAUUGAGGUAAGUCGAUUUUGGAAAUAAUUAAGGAAAGAAGUAAUGCAAAAAGGAAAGAGAAAUGAAUUAAGAAAAUUUUCAAAAAAAAAAAAAAACGAGAAAGGAGUUGCCGGCGACGAGUUUCACGAGCAUUAGAAAGAGUUUUCUUUAUGGUUAAUGCUUUCUCUAUUUCUAUAUCUCUAAUCCACUCUUUUUCCCACCAUCUCUAUCUAUGUCUGUGCGUGUGGCUGUAAACAUGGUGAAUCAGGAGGUGAAUUAGAGAUAGAGAGAAUCAAGAUAGAGAGAGAAAGAGAGGAGAAAACCCUUCUCUGAUUUUUGAU
RNAcentral lists this long non-coding RNA (588 nucleotides) under Nicotiana benthamiana. Its description in RNAcentral is "long non-coding RNA (NBEN_LNC005762)". Lineage: Eukaryota; Viridiplantae; Streptophyta; Magnoliopsida; Solanales; Solanaceae. The record is from RNAcentral.